CUUGGAGUCUUCUCAGCGAGCCUAGGACAAGGGAGAAAAAUGUACCUGAAAGUUCAUAAGGAAGUAUGCUGAGAAAUUCAAAAUUCAAAGCGAAGGCUCACUUCUACUAGGGGAGAAAUAUUCCUGAAAGUUUUUCCU
This is a long non-coding RNA of Lagopus muta (rock ptarmigan), 138 nucleotides long. RefSeq lists it as uncharacterized. The transcript is spliced from 3 exons. NCBI's taxonomy places the organism in Eukaryota, Metazoa, Chordata, Aves, Galliformes, Phasianidae. The record is from RefSeq and is a predicted model, not a curated record.